Molecule: ribosomal RNA, 500 nt
Filed under: uncultured Lachnospiraceae bacterium
Lineage: Bacteria; Bacillati; Bacillota; Clostridia; Lachnospirales; Lachnospiraceae
Description: bacterial SSU rRNA
Rfam family: Bacterial small subunit ribosomal RNA
Source: RNAcentral
AGAGUUUGAUCCUGGCUCAGGAUGAACGCUGGCGGCGUGCCUAACACAUGCAAGUCGAACGAAGCCGUGCCGACGGAACUCUUCGGAGGGAAGACGGCACGGACUUAGUGGCGGACGGGUGAGUAACGCGUGGGUAACCUGCCCUGUACAGGGGGACAACAGCCGGAAACGGCUGCUAAUACCGCAUAAGCCUGCGGGGCCGCAUGGCCCGGCAGGAAAAGCUGCGGCGGUACAGGGUGGGCCCGCGUCUGAUUAGCCAGUUGCGGGGGUAACGGCCACCAAAGCAACGAUCAGUAGCCGGCUUGAGAGAGCGAACGGCCACAUUGGGGCUGAGACACGGCCCAAACUCCUACGGGAGGCAGCAGUGGGGAAUAUUGCACAAUGGGGGGAACCCUGAUGCAGCAACGCCGCGUGAGUGAAGAAGUACCUCGGUAUGUAAAGCUCUAUCAGCAGGGAAGAAAAUGACGGUACCUGACCAAGAAGCACCGGCUAAAUACGUG